This 253-nucleotide ribosomal RNA is filed under the name uncultured bacterium. RNAcentral's name for it is "partial 16S ribosomal RNA". It matches the Rfam family "Bacterial small subunit ribosomal RNA", at positions 524 to 776 of the family's 1533-position model. The record is from RNAcentral.
GACGGGGGGUCCUAGCGUUGUUCGGAAUCAUUGGGCGUAAAGCGUGUGCAGGUGGUUUGGAAAGUUAGAUGUGAAAGCCCCGGGCUCAACCCGGGAAGUGCAUUUAAAACUCCCAAACUUGAAUAUGGAAGAGGGUCGUGGAAUUCCAGGUGUAGUGGUGAAAUACGUAGAUAUCUGGAGGAACACCGGUGGCGAAGGCGGCGACCUGGUCCAAUAUUGACACUCAUACACGAAAGCGUGGGGAUCAAACAGG